RNAcentral lists this transfer RNA (73 nucleotides) under bacterium. Its description in RNAcentral is "tRNA-Lys". It matches the Rfam family "tRNA". Rfam says of the family: Transfer RNA (tRNA) molecules are approximately 80 nucleotides in length. Their secondary structure includes four short double-helical elements and three loops (D, anti-codon, and T loops). Further hydrogen bonds mediate the characteristic L-shaped molecular structure. tRNAs have two regions of fundamental functional importance: the anti-codon, which is responsible for specific mRNA codon recognition, and the 3' end, to which the tRNAs corresponding amino acid is attached (by aminoacyl-tRNA synthetases). tRNAs cope with the degeneracy of the genetic code in two manners: having more than one tRNA (with a specific anti-codon) for a particular amino acid; and 'wobble' base-pairing, i.e. permitting non-standard base-pairing at the 3rd anti-codon position. The record is from RNAcentral. RNAcentral also lists the same sequence under 1 other name.
GGGUGAUUAGCUCAGUUGGUAGAGCAGCUGACUCUUAAUCAGCGGGUCGCAGGUUCGACUCCUGCAUCACCCA